UAUUUUACAUAAAAGAUGUUUACAUAUAAUCCACAAGACAAAUAGCUGAAUUUAUUAAAAUAACCCCAUUCAUAAGUAUGUGAACCAUUGAUUCUUAAUACUGUGUGUGGUUACCGGGAUGAUCUACGACUGUUUUUUUGUUUUGUGAUGGUUGUUCAUGAGUCCCUUGUUUGUCCUGAGCAGUUAAACUGAACUCUAUUCUUCAGUUUUCCAGCAUUUUUUGCAUAUUUGAACCCUUUACAGCAGUGACUGAAUGAUUUUCAGAUCCAUUUUAUCAUAUUUUUUUGUCUUAUGGAUUAUAUGUAAAUAUCUUUUAUGUAAAAUAUCUUACUCAGGACAGUACUAAAUAAAAAACAUUUUUUAUUAUCUCCCUUAUUUUGUUAAAAUUAUUAACAUUUUCACAGAUUCUGCAAGUGGUUCACAUACUUUUUCUUGCCACUGUAUAUAUAUAUAUAUAUAUAUAUAUAUAUAUAUAUA
This is a long non-coding RNA of Ctenopharyngodon idella (grass carp), 477 nucleotides long. RefSeq lists it as uncharacterized. The transcript has 2 exons. NCBI's taxonomy places the organism in Eukaryota, Metazoa, Chordata, Actinopteri, Cypriniformes, Xenocyprididae. The record is from RefSeq and is a predicted model, not a curated record.